GCCAACAUGAAUAUGGUGCCGCAGAGACCGCAAAUGGAGUGAAUCCAUUAGUACAUAAUCCCAACCUAAUGUUUCUAGGUUCACUAGCAAAGUUAGGAAACACUCUAUCAAAAUGCUUCCAUGCCAUAGAACACUAGGUGGCCUUUUAUGUUCAUAAUCUCAUCUCAUAUGAAGAGCCGAUCUCAUUGAUGCAUAUAACCUAUUU
Molecule: unclassified non-coding RNA, 205 nt
Filed under: Hevea brasiliensis (rubber tree)
Lineage: Eukaryota; Viridiplantae; Streptophyta; Magnoliopsida; Malpighiales; Euphorbiaceae
Source: RNAcentral